CCUCACUCCAUCUCUUUAUUCCUAUUUUAUCCUUCAGUAAAACUUUAUUUUUAGGAUUAAAAUUUUAUAAUUUUUAACCACUCCAAUCCUCUGAGCGCAUGCAGCGAUACACAACCUAUUCAUUUUGGGAAUUCUUUCUCCUCUCUUUCUUUCAUUGUUGUGGUGUGAGAGUGUGGUGAGUGAGAGGUUGCAUGUGGUUGAAGGAAUUGCUGUAGCAGUGGCAAAAUUCAGUCUCGAGAUUGCUUGAAGGUGGUGGUGGACUCCAUCAACGCUUUGGAAAACUUACUGAAAGCACUGUGAAAAAGCGGCAAGGACCAAUUGUGAUAAAGAAACUCCGUGCAUCUAAGUUAACGGAUGUCAUUGGAGAAAAUAACAUAUUUCCAACAGUGGCUGAUGUUGUUUCAAGUGCAAAUGGUGAAGGAGUAUUAUGAAGAAAUUAAAUAACUAUAGCUUCAAUUCAACCGUUGAAAUC
This 472-nucleotide small RNA is filed under the name Vigna angularis var. angularis. RNAcentral describes it as "Non-protein coding transcript". The record is from RNAcentral. Lineage: Eukaryota; Viridiplantae; Streptophyta; Magnoliopsida; Fabales; Fabaceae.